GUUUGUUUUAGGAUAAGAGAGGUUGGUAAAUAUAUAGGGGAGACGGAUCCAUUCUUCUUAUUCACGAUUAAGACCCAUCUUUCAUCUUCCUCAUCACCACUCACCAUCCCUUCCGCCAGCAUCCUCCGUCCUGAAACUGUUCCCCUUACUCCUUCCGUCUCCUCACCAAAUACAUCCGCCGCUCACCUCACUUGUUCACCAUCAACAUCAUCGCUGACCGUUUAUCAUUCGUUCCCACCAUCACCUUCCAUCAUCUUCAACCAUCAUCAAUCGCAUAACUUCCAUCUCUAUUCCGCUAUCCAACCUCUGUUCUUCACGGGAAGCAUCACUCCGCUUCAGUCUCAUCGUUCCACCGUAUUCAUCAACAACAGUUUCAAACCUCACCGUAACUAUCCUCCGUUCUCCCUUCUUCACUCUGAUUUCCCUUCACCGUCAUAA
Vicia faba (fava bean) is the source of this 438-nucleotide non-coding RNA. The record is from the annotation of a GenBank genome assembly. Lineage: Eukaryota; Viridiplantae; Streptophyta; Magnoliopsida; Fabales; Fabaceae.